Molecule: long non-coding RNA, 3508 nt
Organism: Papaver somniferum (opium poppy)
Lineage: Eukaryota; Viridiplantae; Streptophyta; Magnoliopsida; Ranunculales; Papaveraceae
Exons: 3
Source: RefSeq, a predicted model, not a curated record
AGUCCCUGACUCUCUGUCUCUCUCUCUUUCCUCCGGGGAAUAAAAUCAAGAUUAAUUGAUCGGAGCAUCAUUUCAUCACUUCAUCUCUCUAAUCUCCACUUCCAUCUUCGAACAUGCCAUCAGUUUCUUGGUUUUCCAUUCCAAAAGCAAACAUAAACCCUAAUUUUUCUUUUUCACUCUCUGAAAUUGGAAGCAGAAUCAUGUCAAGCGUUCCUGAGGAGAUCCACCAUGACAUCCUCUUAAGAUUACCGGUAAAAUACUUAUUAUCCUGUAAGUGCGUUUGCAAGAAUUGGUAUGCCCUAAUUUCUUCCUCUGAUUUUGUUAAAACCCAACUGUUCAGAAAAAUAACCCUUUCUUCAUGCUCGUUAGUAUCAUCAGUGUCUGAAAUUGGCGAUGAGGCUAUUAGAUUGGAUUACCCAUUCAAAUCUGUAAUGAUGGUUAUAGGGCCUAUCUUUGGAACCCGGCUACAAAAGAAUAUAAAGAAAUACCACACAACCACCAAUUGAAUUUAUUAGAUCCAAUGUUAGUGGUCUUGGUUAUGAUCACAAGACUGAUGAUUACAAGUUGGUAGUAGGUGUAAAAGCUCAUGCAAAACAAGGAUACUCUAGUCCAAGUCUAUAGCUUAGCAUCAAAUUCAUGGAAAAUUGCGCAAAACUAUACCUCAUCAGUUUCGUCAUCCCCAAAUAUCUGGGGUGCUUGUUAAUGGAGACCUUCAUUGGUUAGGGAAGUGUCAAUCCAACUUUUCCUUGCUCUCUUUUGAUAUCAAUCACGAGACUUUUAAAGAAAUGCAAUUACCAGGAGAGAUUUUGGGGAUGAAUAACGAUCUGUGUCUGGGAGUGUUGCAAGGGUACCUUUGUGUACUUGUCAGCACAUAUCUUAAUCCUGUCAAGAUUCAUGUUGAAUUAUGGGAGAUGCGGGAUUAUGGAGUUCAAGAAUCUUGGACUAACUACUAAGCGUUAUGUCAUUGAUCACGAGAGUAUUAUCUGCGACCAUGAAUAUUUUAGGCUUGUUUCCUCUUUUAAGAAUGGCGAGAUUCUACUCUUGGGUCGCAAUCGUUUAUUUUUGUAUGAACCAAAACUUGGAAGUGCUAGAGAACUAAAAAUCGACAAUGUUUCAUUCUUCAAUUUUGGUAAUUGUUUUAAAGCUUAGUUUCUAUGAACUCUGGUACUUAUGCGGGGAAGAAUCAACAGAAACCCGAAGAAGAAGCUUUAUGAGUAGAAUGAUUGAUUAUGUUGCCGAUAAAGAAAAAAUGAUUGGUUAUGCUUAUUAUUUCAUGAUAUUGAUAUCUUUGUUUGCAUGGAUCCAUGUAUUGUUUUUUCAAGUGAAUUAUGAAAGUGGAUAUUGAAAUCAGAGAUGAUAAGAUUAGAAUGCUGCAUUUCGGUUCUUUUUUCUAAGUCUUAAACCUUUCUACAUCCCAAGAAUGAAAUUUUUGUAUUAUGUUCAAUCUAGAGCAAUAUAUCUUCCGAUACAGACUGUUUUUCAAUCCAUAUUAAAGUUGAUUCGUUUAAAUUUCUCCGUAAGUGUUAAAACUUAGACUCUGAACUCAUGUUUCUUUCUUUCGUGUUACUGGGGUUGGAUAGGUUGUACUAAGCAGUACAAUUUUCAUAAAACUCAAAUUUUUGAAUUUGUGGUUGAGGACAAAUUUUGGUUAUUUCUUAGAUCAACAUUUUGUUGUAUAUGGAUGUUUAGUUAUCUAAAGCUUCUUAGUAGAUACUCGUCAAUGUGCUAUUAUAUUUCUGUAUUUUCAUUAGUCAAGAAUUGCUUGUUGCACACAUGAAUUCGGUUUACACAACUUAGUUAGGACCAAACAGAACAACACACAUUCCUUUCAGUUCUAGUUAAAUCGCACAAUAUUUUCAGCACGUUAGCCAAUAUAUGUUAGCUCUGGCACAAUAUGAUCAAGCAAGUGAUUUUCAACAUGAGUAUCAAUAUGUAUUCGCUAAAUGUCUAGACUAUGUAUAUCUGAUGGCUAUGCAUUUAUUGAGACGUAGAAAUAGUUACACCUGAGCUGACUGUAGAAAAAGUUUCAUCUGACAGCUGUAACUCUUGUGGCAUUUUCCUUUCGGUGAAAUUUUGAGGGAAACCAAUCUUCUACUAGAAGCAGGCAUCAAUCGGCUAUAUGGGAAUUUAGAAUAAAAGUUAACUCAUCAGAAAGUUAAAUACUGUCAUUAAGACAAACCCAAAAUAAAAGAGGAAGUUGCAGAGUCCAGCAGGUCUCCUGUCAGAGUUUCAGGAAACAGACUGCUCAAGUCUGAACGUUAUUCAUGCCAAAGUGUUUUUACCAGCCUAUCGGAAAGUCAAGCUGGUUGGAUCUCCUUUGAUCUUCAAGUGCAUUUGUUUUUUGGCUUUUUUUGCCAGUUUUGGCAGAUAUGUACAACUUCCUUUUGCUCGCUAUUCUUUUAAGCUCCUUAAUGACAGUAUUAAAGUUUCACAAGAAGAUUUUUCGUACAAUCCUUGCAAAUGCACUCUAUCUUUACAUGGCUGCUGCGAGCACUUAAAUAGCUAGUUCCAGACUUCCAGUUGUUUGGGAAGUUGACGAGCCAAGAGGAUCAACAGCUUUUUGCACAUUGCAACCCACAACAAAAGCAGACACCCAUGUUUGACAGCAAGUUCAAGGCCAGUCAUUAUUCCAAGAAGUAAUAUUGUAUGCAAAGAAGGAUGUAAACUUGGCAAAACUUUCAUUGAUUCAAAGUUUUAAAUCGAAGGAAUAUGUUGCUGGGACCCAUUUCUAUUGGUUUUUGACUAAUGAUGGUAUUGAGUUUUGGAUCACUUAUUUGAAUCUACCAUCUGAGAUUGUGCCUAAUACUUUCUGCUCUAACUGGUACAGCACCACAGAGUUAUCGCCUAGGUGGUUUAGACAUGUUAAAAGUAGACAGGAAUGCGUUCAGUUAUGAAGAUGGAAUAUUUACGGGUGAAGUAACUCGUCAGGCACAUCAGUCUGUUACAGCUAAAUUUAAAUAUUUUGAGGACAUGGUGUUGGAGAAUGCAAAAGAACAUCGUGUUUUGCCCCGUACUGUUUUCAUUGGUGACUCAGUUAGUGACUUGUUGUGCCUGCUUACAGCUGAUAUUGGCAUUGUGAUUGGGUCAAACAGAAGCACAAUUAAUGUGGGAUAUCACUUUGGUAUUACAUUUCUACCUCUGUAUGCUGGUGUGUUCCAGGAACAGAAAAAAACGCUUCGAAACUGACAACCCUAUUGUCUGGACAAAAGUGGUCGAAAUUAAGUUCUGGAAUGCAGAAUUGGGUAUGUACAGAUGGUGCUCUACGGAGAGUUUUAUUGAGGGCCGUGCAUUGAAGUAGCGAAAACUGUCCGAGGGAUGAUGAAGAUUUAGCCGAAUAGUAUUUUUGUUCUUACAUCUGUUGUCUUUAGAUUUUGGUAUCUGUUCUACUUGCUUGUUUGAAAUGGUAACAUUGCAGGAGCAAGAUUUGAUACAGAUUUUUGUUUUUGACUUCGACUGUCUAAUAUUGUGCAUGUGUUUAAUUUUUGAUUUGAUACAGUUAUUUAUGGGU